GAUGAACGCUGGCGGCGUGCCUAAUACAUGCAAGUCGAGCGAACGGACGAGAAGCUUGCUUCUCUGAUGUUAGCGGCGGACGGGUGAGUAACACGUGGAUAACCUACCUAUAAGACUGGGAUAACUUCGGGAAACCGGAGCUAAUACCGGAUAAUAUUUUGAACCGCAUGGUUCAAAAGUGAAAGACGGUCUUGCUGUCACUUAUAGAUGGAUCCGCGCUGCAUUAGCUAGUUGGUAAGGUAACGGCUUACCAAGGCAACGAUGCAUAGCCGACCUGAGAGGGGGAUCGGCCACAUGGGAACGGAGACACGGUCCAGAGUCCUACGGGAGGCAGCAGUAGGGAAUCUUCCGCAGUGGGGGAAAGCCUGACGGAGCAACGGCGCGUGAGUGAUGAAGGUCUUCGGAGCGUAAUACUCUGUUACUAGGUAUGAACAUAUGUGGAAGUAACUGUGCACAUCGUGACGGUACCUGAUCAGAAAGCCACGGCUAACUACGUG
RNAcentral lists this ribosomal RNA (497 nucleotides) under uncultured bacterium. Its description in RNAcentral is "partial 16S ribosomal RNA". It matches the Rfam family "Bacterial small subunit ribosomal RNA", at positions 28 to 507 of the family's 1533-position model. The record is from RNAcentral.